GGCAAGAGGCAAGUGCAGAACCCAAGCAACAGAAACCAAGACUUCAUGGCAUCAUUGGAGCCCAAUUCUCCCACCAAAGCAAACACUGAAUAUCCAAACACACCAGAACAGCAAGAUCUAGAUUUUAAAUCACAUUUGAUCAUGAUGAUGGAGGACUUCAAGAAAGACAUAAAAAACUCCCUUAGUAAAAAGCAGGAAAACAAAUAAACAAGUAGAAAACUAUAGAGAGGAAUCACAAAAAUCCCUCAAAAAUUCCAGGAAAACACAAUCAAACAAUGGAAGGAAUUAAAAAUGGAAAUAGAAGCAAUAAAGAAAGCACAAAGGGAGACAACCUUGGAUAUACAAAACCAAAGGAAGAGACAAGGAGCCAUAGAUACAAGCAUCAGCAACAGAAUACAAAAGAUAGAAAAAGCAAGAAACUAAUCGUCUUGGCAACAAAACAAA
RNAcentral lists this long non-coding RNA (444 nucleotides) under Rattus norvegicus (Norway rat). RNAcentral describes it as "long non-coding RNA NONRATT002223". Lineage: Eukaryota; Metazoa; Chordata; Mammalia; Rodentia; Muridae. The record is from RNAcentral.